AACAAAUAAUAGCUCAAACCACCAAAAAUCAAACUACCUCAACAAAACUAAAAUAAAACAUUUAUAACAAUUUAAAGUAUAGGUGAUAGAAAUUAUAUUUGACGCUAUAGAGAUAGUACCGUAAGGGAAAAACAAAAAACUAAAAGUGAAAAACAGCAAAGCUCAACCCUUGUACCUUUCGCAUAAUGAUUCAACCAGAGUAUUUUUAGCAAAAAGAAUUGAAGUUAAAUAACCCGAAACCAGACGAGCUACCUAAUAGCAGCCUAAAGGGCAAACUCAUUUAUGUGGCAAAAUAAUGAGGUGACUAUUUAGUAGUGGCGAUAAACCUACCGAGCCUGGUGAUAGCUGGUUGUCCAGAGAGGAAUUUCAGUUCCAACUUAAACUUACCAAAAAAAUAAAUAAAUCAAAUGUAUAUUUAAGUAAUAAUCCAAGGGGGUACAGCCCCUUGGAUACGGGAUACAACCCCUAUUAGAGAGUAAAAAAAAAUAAAACCACAAUAGUUGGCCUAAAAGCAGCCACCAAAUAAGAUAGCGUUCAAGCUCAACAGUAUGAAGAACUAAUCCAAAUUAUAUAUAAUCCACACUCCUAAUAUAAAAACUGGACCAUCCUACUGCCAAGUAGAAGUAAUAAUGUUGAUAUGAGUAACAAGAAAAUUUUUCUCCCAGCACAUGUGUAUAUCAGAACGAAUGAAUCACUGAUAGUUACCAAAACAGGCACUUAAUCACCAAAUUAAUUACCACUAUCAACUGUUAGCCCAACACAGGAGUGCAAUCAGGGAAAGAUUAAAAAAAGUAAAAGGAACUUGGCAAACACAAACCCCGCCUGUUUACCAAAAACAUCACCUCCAGCAUCAAAAGUAUUGGAGGCACUGCCUGCCCAGUGACCUAGUUUAACGGCCGCGGUAUCCUGACCGUGCAAAGGUAGCAUAAUCACUUGUUCUCUAAAUAAGGACUUGUAUGAAUGGCCCCACGAGGGUUUUACUGUCUCUUACUUUCAAUCAGUGAAAUUGACAUUCUCGUGAAGAGGCGAGAAUUAAAAAAUAAGACGAGAAGACCCUGUGGAGCUUUAAUUAACUAACUCAUAAAUUAUAACAGACUCAUCUACAAGAAACAACCCCAUAUUUAAAUGAGCUAGCAAUUUGGGUUGGGGUGACCUCGGAAUAAAAAAAAACUCCCGAGAACUAAAUAUCAAGACCAACAAGUCAAAGUUAUUCAAACCUACAGUGAUCCGCCAAAGACGAUCAACGAAACAAGUUACCCCAGGGAUAACAGCGCAAUCCUAUUUAAGAGUCCAUAUCGACAAUAUAGGGUUUACGACCUCGAUGUUGGAUCAGGACAUCCCAAUGGUGCAGCAGCUAUUAAUGUGUUCGUUUGUUCAACGAUUAAAGUCCUACGUGAUCUGAGUUCAGACCGGAGUAAUCCAGGUCGGUUUCUAUCUAUUUAUAAGUCCCUCCCAGUACGAAAGGAUAAGAGAGACAGGGCCCACUUAAAAUAAGCGCCCUAACAAAAAAGGAUGAACUAAUCUUAAUCCUAUUAUAUCCAAAAAUCCCCGAAAGAAGGGCUAA
RNAcentral lists this ribosomal RNA (1564 nucleotides) under Euderma maculatum. Its description in RNAcentral is "16S ribosomal RNA". It matches the Rfam family "Bacterial large subunit ribosomal RNA". Lineage: Eukaryota; Metazoa; Chordata; Mammalia; Chiroptera; Vespertilionidae. The record is from RNAcentral.